ACGCUCGACACCUACGGGAGGUAGCAGUGGGGAAUAUUGCACAAUGGGGGAAACCCUGAUGCAGCGACGUCGCGUGGAGGAAGAAGGUCUUCGGAUUGUAAACUCCUGUUGUUGGGGAAAAAGAGGAUGGUACCCAACAAGGAAGUGACGGCUAACUACGUGCCAGUAGCCGCGGUAAUCUGAGCGGGCUGGCAAGGC
RNAcentral lists this ribosomal RNA (198 nucleotides) under uncultured bacterium. Its description in RNAcentral is "partial 16S ribosomal RNA". It matches the Rfam family "Bacterial small subunit ribosomal RNA", at positions 328 to 539 of the family's 1533-position model. The record is from RNAcentral.